AGUGAACGCUGGCGGUAGGCCUAACACAUGCAAGUCGAACGGCAGCACAGUAAGAGCUUGCUCUUACGGGUGGCGAGUGGCGGACGGGUGAGGAAUACAUCGGAAUCUACUUUUUCGUGGGGGAUAACGUAGGGAAGCUUACGCUAAUACCGCAUACGACCUACGGGUGAAAGCAGGGGAUCUUCGGACCUUGCGCGAUUGAAUGAGCCGAUGUCGGAUUAGCUAGUUGGCGGGGUAAAGGCCCACCAAGGCGACGAUCCGUAGCUGGUCUGAGAGGAUGAUCAGCCACACUGGAACUGAGACACGGUCCAGACUCCUACGGGAGGCAGCAGUGGGGAAUAUUGGACAAAGGGCGCAAGCCUGAUCCAGCCAUACCGCGUGGGUGAAGAAGGCCUUCGGGUUGUAAAGCCCUUUUGUUGGGAAAGAAAAGCAGCAGGUUAAUACCCCGCUGUUCUGACGGUACCCAAAGAAUAAGCACCGGCUAACUUCGUG
RNAcentral lists this ribosomal RNA (492 nucleotides) under uncultured bacterium. Its description in RNAcentral is "partial 16S ribosomal RNA". It matches the Rfam family "Bacterial small subunit ribosomal RNA", at positions 29 to 507 of the family's 1533-position model. The record is from RNAcentral.